Molecule: ribosomal RNA, 520 nt
Filed under: Melanocryptus delos
Lineage: Eukaryota; Metazoa; Arthropoda; Insecta; Hymenoptera; Ichneumonidae
Description: partial 16S large subunit ribosomal RNA
Rfam family: Archaeal large subunit ribosomal RNA (bases 390-520)
Source: RNAcentral
AAACAUGUYUUAAUGAAUAUAAUUUUAAGUYUGAUCUGCUCCAUGAUAAGAAAUAUUAAAUAGCUGCAGAAUUUUAACUGUACAAAGGUAGCAUAAUAAAUAGUUUUUUAAUUAAAAGCUGGAAUGAAAGAUUUGAUAAGGUAAAUAUUGUCUCAAAUUUAAUAUAUUAAAAUUUUUUUUUUAGUAAAAAUACUAGGAUGAAUUAAAAAGACGAGAAGACCCUAUAGAUUUUUAUAUUUUUUAUUAACAAAUUUGUAAUUAAAUAAAUAUUUAAUUAGAAAUAUUAGGUUGGGGAAAUUAUUAAAUUUAAAAAAUUUUAAUUUUAUAUAAACAAUAAUGGUUGGAUGAGGGAACUUUAUAUAAAAAUUAAUAGAAUAAAAUACCUUAGGGAUAACAGCGUAAUUUUUUUAGAGAGAUCAUAUUAAUAAAAAAGUUUGCGACCUCGAUGUUGAAUUAAGAUAAAAUUUUAAUGAAGAAGUUAAAAAUUUUUGGUCUGUUCGACCAUUAAAAUCUUACGUGA